UUCGCCCUUUUCGCUUUACGCUGCCACAUUUGGUUUUACUUUCGCUUUUACAUCCGCUUUAGUUUCACUUUCACUUCCUGUUUCGCUUUCACUUCCUGUUUUGCAUCCACUUCCUGUUUCGCAUCCACUUCCUGUUUCCCAUCCACUUCCGGUUUCACUUUCGCUUUCAGGCCCCACAUCUUCACCAACAUCAAACUAAUUUGGGGCCCUGGCGCCUCCUUCACCUCCACAGAGCCACUUUCACUUUCACUUCCUGUUUCACACUCACUUCCUGUUUCACACUCACUUCCUGUUUUGCAUCCACUUCCUGUUUCGCAUUCACUUCCUGUUUCACAUUCACUUCCUGCUUUACUUUCACUUUCAAUUUCAGGCUCUCAUCAUCCCUGACAUCAAACAACUUUGGGGCCUCGGUGCCUCCUUCCUCACCCCCACAGAGCCCACUUUCACUUUCACACUCACUUCCUGUUUCACACUUCCUGUUUCCACACUCACUUCCUGUUUCACGCCCACUUCCUGUUUCACAUUCACUUCCGGUUUCACUUCUGCUUUCAGGCCCUCAUCUUCACCAACAGUGAACGCAUUUGGGGCCUCGGUGCCUCCUUCCUCACCCCCACAGAGCCACUUUCACUUUCACUUCCUGUUUCACACUCACUUCCUCUUCCACACUCACUUCCUAUUUCACAUUCACUUUUGGUUUCACUUUUGGUUUCACUUUCGGCUUCACUUUCAGGCCCUCAUCAUCACCAACAACUUUCGAGCCUCGGUGCCUCCUUCUUCACCCCCAUGCAGCCACUUUCACUUUCAUUUCCUGUUUCACAUUCACUUCCUGUUUCACAUCCACUUCCUGCUUCACAUCCACUUCCUGUUUCACAUCCACUUCCUGUUUCGCUUUCAGUUUCAGGAUUUUGUCACCGACAGCAAACAGAUUUUGGGUCUCGGCGCCUCCUUCCUCACCCCUACACAGCCCCACUUUCACUUUCACUUUCACUUUCACACUUACUUUCGCUUUCACACUUACUUUCGCUUUCACUUUCACACUUACCUUCGCUUUCACUUUCAGG
Molecule: long non-coding RNA, 1061 nt
Filed under: Numida meleagris (helmeted guineafowl)
Lineage: Eukaryota; Metazoa; Chordata; Aves; Galliformes; Numididae
Description: lncRNA (ENSNMEG00000000846.1)
Source: RNAcentral